RNAcentral lists this ribosomal RNA (374 nucleotides) under uncultured organism. Its description in RNAcentral is "bacterial SSU rRNA". It matches the Rfam family "Bacterial small subunit ribosomal RNA", at positions 526 to 896 of the family's 1533-position model. The record is from RNAcentral.
CGGGGGGAGCAAGCGUUGUUCGGAUUUACUGGGCGUAAAGGGCGCGUAGGCGGCCACCGCAAGUCAGUUGUGAAAUCUCCGAGCUUAACUCGGAAAGGUCAACUGAUACUGCGGGGCUAGAGUGCGGAAGGGGCAACUGGAAUUCUUGGUGUAGCGGUGAAAUGCGUAGAUAUCAAGAGGAACACCUGCGGCGAAGGCGGGUUGCUGGGCCGACACUGACGCUGAGGCGCGAAAGCUAGGGGAGCGAACGGGAUUAGAUACCCCGGUAGUCCUAGCCUUAAACGAUGAAUGCUUGGUGUCUGGGGUUAUAUAGUCCCCGGGUGCCGUCGCUAACGCUUUAAGCAUUCCGCCUGGGGAGUACGGUCGCAAGACUG